AUUGAACGCUGGCGGCAUGCUUUACACAUGCAAGUCGAACGGUAACAGGUUAAGCUGACGAGUGGCGAACGGGUGAGUAAUGCAUCGGAACGUGCCCGGUCGUGGGGGAUAACGCAGCGAAAGCUGCGCUAAUACCGCAUACGAUCUGAGGAUGAAAGCGGGGGACCGUAAGGCCUCGCGCGAUCGGAGCGGCCGAUGUCAGAUUAGGUAGUUGGUGGGGUAAAGGCCUACCAAGCCGACGAUCUGUAGCUGGUCUGAGAGGACGACCAGCCACACUGGGACUGAGACACGGCCCAGACUCCUACGGGAGGCAGCAGUGGGGAAUUUUGGACAAUGGGCGCAAGCCUGAUCCAGCAAUGCCGCGUGCAGGAAGAAGGCCUUCGGGUUGUAAACUGCUUUUGUACGGAGCGAAAAGGCUCUCUCUAAUACAGGGGGUUCAUGACGGUACCGUAAGAAUAAGUACCGGCUAACUACGUGCCAGCAGCCGCGGUAA
Molecule: ribosomal RNA, 493 nt
Filed under: uncultured bacterium
Lineage: Bacteria
Description: partial 16S ribosomal RNA
Rfam family: Bacterial small subunit ribosomal RNA
Source: RNAcentral